GUGCUUGCUUUGACAGCACAUAUAUUAAAACUGGAAUAAUACAAAGAAGAUUAACACGGCCCCUGCACAAAAAUGACACGCAAAUUCAUGAAGCAUUCCAUAAUUCC
This is a small nuclear RNA of Trichechus manatus latirostris (Florida manatee), 107 nucleotides long. NCBI's taxonomy places the organism in Eukaryota, Metazoa, Chordata, Mammalia, Sirenia, Trichechidae. The record is from RefSeq and is a predicted model, not a curated record.